RNAcentral lists this long non-coding RNA (256 nucleotides) under Prunus persica (peach). Its description in RNAcentral is "long non-coding RNA (PPER_LNC004459)". Lineage: Eukaryota; Viridiplantae; Streptophyta; Magnoliopsida; Rosales; Rosaceae. The record is from RNAcentral.
GAAGAGUUGUAGUAAUGAAGACUAGUGAUCUUCAACUUAGUGUUAUUGUUAGUAUGGAAGCAACUUGACUUCGUGAAAUUAUUUGAAAUUUAUAUAAGUCGAAGUUAUAUUUUAAAACAUAAAAGGCGAAAAAAAAAAUGUUGCAAGGAUUUCAUAGGAUUUGUUGUUGAAGUUAAAGCAUUGGAAAAUAGUAAUAAAUGGAAGAGAAUGAGAAGUGGCAACGCUAAUGACUUGUGGUGCUACGCGAGGAUGACAC